Molecule: ribosomal RNA, 150 nt
Filed under: Salmonella enterica
Lineage: Bacteria; Pseudomonadati; Pseudomonadota; Gammaproteobacteria; Enterobacterales; Enterobacteriaceae
Description: partial 16S ribosomal RNA
Rfam family: Bacterial small subunit ribosomal RNA
Source: RNAcentral
AAAUUGAAGAGUUUGAUCAUGGCUCAGAUUGAACGCUGGCGGCAGGCCUAACACAUGCAAGUCGAACGGUAACAGGAAGCAGCUUGCUGCUUCGCUGACGAGUGGCGGACGGGUGAGUAAUGUCUGGGAAGCUGCCUGAUGGAGGGGGAU